AGGGCACCACCAGGAGGGUAACCUGCGGCUUAAUUUAACUCAGCACGCCAAAACUCACCCGGCCCGGACACCGAAAGGAUUGACAGACUGAAAACUCUUUCUUACUUCGGUGGGUGGGGGUGGAUGGACGGUCUUAUUUGGCGGAGCGAUUUGUCUGGUUGAUUCCGAUCACUAACAAGACUCUGGCCUACUUAAUAGACGGAAUAUCCUAACGAACGACGCUCUUCUCUAAGGGACAAGCGGCAUUUCCCCACAUGCAAUAGACUUCUAACAGGGCCGUGAGGCCCUUAGACGUCCGGGGCUGAGCGCGCGCUAGACUGAGAUAACCUUAGUGGGCUGGACCUGCACCCGCAGUACCCUGAAACCCACGUAAAGUCUUUCAUGCUUGCCAGAAGGAAUUGCAAUUCUCUCCCUUUUCCUACGAGCUCCCAGUAAAUGCGUGCCAUUAUCUCGCUUAGACUACGUCCUUGCCCUUUGUGCACACCGUCCGUCCGUACUACCGACUGCACGACUUAUUGA
RNAcentral lists this ribosomal RNA (519 nucleotides) under uncultured eukaryote. Its description in RNAcentral is "bacterial SSU rRNA". It matches the Rfam family "Eukaryotic small subunit ribosomal RNA", at positions 1161 to 1704 of the family's 1831-position model. The record is from RNAcentral.